ACUUGUAUGAACGGCUAAAUGAGGACAAACCUGUCUCAUGUGACCAAUCAGUGAAACUGAUCUCCCAGUCCAAAAGCUGGAAUAACAACAUAAGACGAGAAGACCCUGUGGAGCUUCAAACCAACCACUAAUAAGCAGGACAACUGCACCUAGUGCACGGUUUUAAGUUGGGGCGACUUUGGAACAAAACAAAACUUCCAAGCACAGAACCACACAUUCCACUACGGCCAACAAGCCAAAGUAUAAAAAGACAGACCCAGUAAUACUGAUCAACGAACCAAGUUACCCCAGGGAUAACAGCGCUAUCUUCUUCAAGAGUCCCUAUCGACAAGAAGGUUUACGACCUCGAUGUUGGAUCAGGACACCCAAAUGGUGCAGCCGCUAUUAAAGGUUCGUUUGUUCAACGAUUAACAGUCCUACGUGAUCU
Molecule: ribosomal RNA, 427 nt
Filed under: Pygomeles braconnieri
Lineage: Eukaryota; Metazoa; Chordata; Lepidosauria; Squamata; Scincidae
Description: partial large subunit ribosomal RNA
Rfam family: Bacterial large subunit ribosomal RNA
Source: RNAcentral